Non-coding RNA from Phoenix dactylifera (date palm), 2575 nucleotides. NCBI's taxonomy places the organism in Eukaryota, Viridiplantae, Streptophyta, Magnoliopsida, Arecales, Arecaceae. The record is from RefSeq and is a predicted model, not a curated record.
AUUUGCAACAAAAAUUAUGCGUAUUCUCAUGCCACAUUCUAGUUAAAAUUUAGGAUCAAGUUUAUUGUAAACUUACAGAUUAUUACCCCAGUCGGAAUUUGGGACAUUGAGCAUAUGGACGGUCACGAUCUUGCGGCUUAGGUUCGUUUCUUUCUCCUCGUGGAUGUAAGCAGAAACGUCGUCCAGAAAUAAAUCAACCAACACGAAAUCCCAGUCGUCCGAUGCGUUACGCAAAUCCAACGGUCCAUUCCCAUCAGAAAUUCAAAAAUCGAAACGGUAUCAACACCCCCCUCACCACCGUUAGAAGUGCUUAGAACUCUCUCGCCAUCUCUCUCUCACUCGCUCGCACGCUCAGAAGCUCCGAGGAGGGUUUUCUUCUGUCCCUUGGAAAGAUCCGAGGAUUUUUUUUAGGGCCACAAUGAUGGGCGAUGGAGCUUUGCCCGCGAUGUCUCCCCCGCGAUCGAUCGAAGCAGCGCCGAAAGCAGUAGAAGAGAAAUCCAAACCCCUUCAAGAAGUUCAAGAUCGAACCUUAGAAGCGCUCUCUGAUUCCCGGAUCAAGGUGUGAUGCAUCUCCCAUCCCUUUCAAAUCGAGAAAACACCAUUUUUAAAAAGAAAAUUAGGUCUGAGUUGCCUGAGAUCUGUUCCAGGUUGAACCCUAGAAAUUACCUGUUUUUCCGUUUAAUGGAUUUUGUGGUCGUUUCUUUCUUAUAUUUAAAAUUUCUCUGGACAUCAAAAGUUCAAACCCUAGAAGACACAUGCUUGAUUUUAGAAAAUGAAAAUUCGAGAGAAAGAGUUGUUCUUGUGAAAAGAUACGUUUCUGAUUAUAAUUUUGACUUGUGAAUUGGGUUUCUUGCUCUCUCUCUCAGAUUGAGAGCUGAAUCCCUCAAUUGUCUUCAAAGAGAUGGAACAAGAAUCAAGCAACCGUAUCCAGGUGAUUGAUCUGCUCUCCUUAGUAACUGGAGCAGCAGAACAGAUAUUUCUCAUUUUUCCUUUUCUUUUAUAUAUUCAAGUCCUUUUUCUUGAAUUCCUUGUCUCAUUCCAGAUGCUUAAGGAUGAUGAUUGCCUCAUUCCAUCUCCUAUUCUGAAGGGAAUUUGUUCCUGAUCUCUCUUCUACCCUUCAGCUUCUUGGUAUAUCGGCCACUUUCUUUUCCGUUUUUUUGAAGGACUGGUAAAGCUUCGGAUGAUCACCUACGAAUCAGAGCAAAUUCUAAUCCUCUCUUUUGUGUAGGGUCUAAGUACAAUAGUCUGAUGAAGAGACACCGCGAACAGAGUGACGAACUUGUAAAACUACGGGCUAAUUGUGAAAUGCUAAAGAAUAAGUACCUGGAGGAGUGCGAGCCUAAAUGCGAAACCUUGAAGCAGAAGUACACAGAAGAGUGUGCUGAAAGGAAGCUCCUACAUAAUGAACUGAUCGAGCUGAAGGGCAACAUAAGGGUUUUUUGCAGAUGCAGGCCAUUAAGCUCGGAAGAGAUCUCUAAAGGUUAUUCUUCUGUGGUAGAGCUUGACCCAUCACAGGAUACUGAAUUGCAGCUCAUCUGUUCAGACUCCUCCAAGAAGCAGUUUAAAUUUGAUCAUGUUUUUGGACCUAAAGAUGAUCAAGAGGCCGUCUUUUUGGAGACCUUGCCAAGUGAAAUCAGUACUAGAUGGGUACAAUCUGUGCAUUUUUGCAUAUGGGCAGACAGGUAGUGGGAAGACAUUUACGAUGGAAGGAACAACAGAGAACCAAUAUGCUCACAGAAAGUUCAUAUCUGAUUAAGAAGCUUCUUUCCUUGGAACACUUGAACAGUUCCUCCAAAGCUUUGUAGUUAACACCUCUAUUCUUUGAAGAGAACAGGAGUGUUAACUACAAAGCUUUGGAGAACUGUUCAAGUGUUCUAAGGAAAGAAGCUCCUUAAUCAGAUAUGAACUUUCUGUGAGCAUGUUUGAGGUCUAUAAUGAGAAGAUCAGAAAUCUACCUGUGAAGAAGUAAAAAUCCCUUUCUUGUGCUUGAAAAUAUCAUGGAGUGCUUGAUUGUUAUUUGGACUACAAUUCUCUAACCUGAAAUAAGAUUGUAACUUUAUUCUGGUUAUAUCUUUUAAUAAAUUUCAUGAAGAUUGGAAAUAAAGCAAGUGGCAGACGCUUUUGGGAAGGGCUUCGAAGCAUAUCAAGCUCAAGCUCAGCAGCCUUUCUCGAGGAUGGACUUCUCCAUCCUCGAUGUUGAUGAUGGCUACGCUGAUGAAGGUGGCAACCCUGAUGGCAGUGAAGGCGGGGAUGCCGGCCACAAUGAAGGUGCCAAUAGGGAUGAGGGCGAAGAAUGAGGUCUUUCGCCUCAUUAUUUUUACUUAUUUUUCUUUUUACUCGUGUGAUCCUAGCUUGAUGUACCUUUUUUUGUUUGGUCUCUUUUGGGGCUAGUGUAAAAGGUUACAAAUUUAAUGAAAGCAAAGGGUUUUUCGAGUUCUUGGCUUCGGUUUUUGGCCCCCUUUUAUUUGAGUCCAGGUCGUCGUGCUGAGCUUAACCUUUCAUUGUAGUCUUUUUUGGCUCGAUCUCGGACGAGAUUAAUUUAUGUACUGAAAAAUAACAGAUGCAAAGAAAUUUU